RNAcentral lists this ribosomal RNA (635 nucleotides) under uncultured bacterium. Its description in RNAcentral is "bacterial SSU rRNA". It matches the Rfam family "Bacterial small subunit ribosomal RNA", at positions 8 to 694 of the family's 1533-position model. The record is from RNAcentral.
AGAGUUUGAUCCUGGCUCAGAACGAACGCUGGCGGCAGGCCUAACACAUACAAGUCGAGCGCCCGCAAGGGAGCGGCAGACGGGUGAGUAACGCGUGGGAACGUGCCCUUUGGUUCGGAAUAUUCCCGGGAAACUGGGAGCAAAACCGGAUAAGCCCUUCGGGGGAAAGUUUACGCCAAAGGAUCGGCCCGCGUUAGAUUAGGUAGUUGGUGGGGUAACGGCCUACCAAGCCUACGAUCUAUAGCUGAUCUGAGAGGAUGAUCAGCCACACUGGGACUGAGACACGGCCCAGACUCCUACGGGAGGCAGCAGUGGGGAAUCUUGGACAAUGGGCGCAAGCCUGAUCCAGCCAUGCCGCGUGGAUGACUGAAGGCCCUAGGGUUGUAAAGUCCUUUCGACGGGGACGAUAAUGACGGUACCCGUAGGAGAAGCCCCGGCUAACUUCGUGCCAGCAGCCGCGGUAAUACGAAGGGGGCUAGCGUUGUUCGGAUUUACUGGGCGUAAAGGGCGCGUAGGCGGAUUUUUAAGUCGGGGGUGAAAUCCCGGAGCUCAACUCCGGAACUGCCUUCGAUACUGAAAGUCUGGAGCACGGUAGAGGUGAGUGGAAUUCCGAGUGUAGCGGUGAAAUGCGUAGA